RNAcentral lists this ribosomal RNA (490 nucleotides) under uncultured bacterium. Its description in RNAcentral is "partial 16S ribosomal RNA". It matches the Rfam family "Bacterial small subunit ribosomal RNA", at positions 30 to 507 of the family's 1533-position model. The record is from RNAcentral.
AUUGAACGCUGGCGGCAGGCCUAACACAUGCAAGUCGAACGGUAACAGGAAGAAUCUUGCUUCUUUGCUGACGAGUGGCGGACGGGUGAGUAAUGUCUGGGAAACUGCCUGAUGGAGGGGGAUAACUACUGGAAACGGUAGCUAAUACCGCAUAAUGUCGCAAGACCAAAGAGGGGGACCUUCGGGCCUCUUGCCAUCGGAUGUGCCCAGAUGGGAUUAGCUAGUAGGUGGGGUAACGGCUCACCUAGGCGACGAUCCCUAGCUGGUCUGAGAGGAUGACCAGCCACACUGGAACUGAGACACGGUCCAGACUCCUACGGGAGGCAGCAGUGGGGAAUAUUGCACAAUGGGCGCAAGCCUGAUGCAGCUAUGCCGCGUGUAUGAAGAAGGCCUUCGGGUUGUAAAGUACUUUCAGCGGGGAGGAAGGGAGUAAAGUUAAUACCUUUGCUCAUUGACGUUACCCGCAGAAGAAGCACCGGCUAACUCCGUG